This 450-nucleotide ribosomal RNA is filed under the name uncultured bacterium. Its description in RNAcentral is "partial 16S ribosomal RNA". It matches the Rfam family "Bacterial small subunit ribosomal RNA", at positions 354 to 796 of the family's 1533-position model. The record is from RNAcentral.
GUGGGGAAUCUUCCGCAAUGGACGAAAGUCUGACGGAGCAACGCCGCGUGAGUGAAGAAGGUUUUCGGAUCGUAAAGCUCUUUCGUUAGGGACGAACGUGCUCUUUGUGAAUAAUGAGGAGUAAUGACGGUACCUAAAUAAGAAGCCACGGCUAACUACGUGCCAGCAGCCGCGGUAAUACGUAGGUGGCAAGCGUUGUCCGGAAUUAUUGGGCGUAAAGCGCGCGCAGGCGGGAUAUCAAGUCUGUCUUAAAAGUGCGAGGCUCAACCUCGUAAGGGGACAGAAACUGGUAUUCUUGAGUGUCGGAGAGGAAAGUGGAAUUCCAAGUGUAGCGGUGAAAUGCGUAGAGAUUUGGAAGAACACCAGUGGCGAAGGCGACUUUCUGGACGAUGUCUGACGCUGAGGCGCGAAAGCUAGGGGAGCGAACGGGAUUAGAAACCCCUGUAGUCC